Molecule: long non-coding RNA, 222 nt
Filed under: Chrysemys picta bellii (western painted turtle)
Lineage: Eukaryota; Metazoa; Chordata; Testudines; Emydidae
Description: lncRNA (ENSCPBG00000022043.1)
Source: RNAcentral
UCAAUUGCUUGGCCUACUCUAACUUAAAAAUAGAUCAUGUUGCUACCAUCACCUGUUUGUUUCUAUGUAGGUCAUUUUCCCUGGUGAUGGGCUCCACUGGAGCAUUAAUGAACAGAAAGACAAGAGCUCCAGCUGAGAAGGUGCUGUUGACAGGUCAGUAGCAGUGGAGCAGGUGCAGGAAAUGCACUCAAACCCCACCCCUUCCUUGUGGGGAAGAGACAG